RNAcentral lists this transfer RNA (74 nucleotides) under Planctomicrobium piriforme. It matches the Rfam family "tRNA". From Rfam's summary of the family: Transfer RNA (tRNA) molecules are approximately 80 nucleotides in length. Lineage: Bacteria; Pseudomonadati; Planctomycetota; Planctomycetia; Planctomycetales; Planctomycetaceae. The record is from Rfam by way of RNAcentral.
GUUCCCGUAGCUCAGCUGGAUAGAGCGCUAGCCUCCGAAGCUAGAGGUCACAAGUUCGAAUCUUGUCGGGGACA